RNAcentral lists this ribosomal RNA (304 nucleotides) under uncultured bacterium. RNAcentral's name for it is "bacterial SSU rRNA". It matches the Rfam family "Bacterial small subunit ribosomal RNA", at positions 207 to 502 of the family's 1533-position model. The record is from RNAcentral.
UUCGGACCUCCACGCCAUUGGAUGAGCCCAAGUCGGAUUAGCUUGUUGGUGGGGUAAAGGCCUACCAAGGCGACGAUCCGUAGCUGGUCUGAGAGGACGAUCAGCCACACUGGGAUGAGACACGGCCCAGACUCCUACGGGAGGCAGCAGUGGGGAAUAUUGGACAAUGGGCGCAAGCCUGAUCCAGCAAUGCCGCGUGUGUGAAGAAGGCCUGCGGGUUGUAAAGCACUUUCAGUGGGGAAGAAAAAGUCGAGCUUAAUACACUCGAUUCUUGACGUUACCUACAGAAGAAGCACCGCCAACU